Molecule: transfer RNA, 67 nt
Filed under: Dacus trimacula
Lineage: Eukaryota; Metazoa; Arthropoda; Insecta; Diptera; Tephritidae
Description: tRNA-Tyr
Rfam family: tRNA
About the family: Transfer RNA (tRNA) molecules are approximately 80 nucleotides in length. Their secondary structure includes four short double-helical elements and three loops (D, anti-codon, and T loops). Further hydrogen bonds mediate the characteristic L-shaped molecular structure. tRNAs have two regions of fundamental functional importance: the anti-codon, which is responsible for specific mRNA codon recognition, and the 3' end, to which the tRNAs corresponding amino acid is attached (by aminoacyl-tRNA synthetases). tRNAs cope with the degeneracy of the genetic code in two manners: having more than one tRNA (with a specific anti-codon) for a particular amino acid; and 'wobble' base-pairing, i.e. permitting non-standard base-pairing at the 3rd anti-codon position.
Source: RNAcentral
GAUUAAAUGGCUGAAAUUUAGGCGAUAGACUGUAAAUCUACUUAUAAGAAUUUAUUCUUUUUAAUCA